This 431-nucleotide ribosomal RNA is filed under the name uncultured bacterium. Its description in RNAcentral is "bacterial SSU rRNA". It matches the Rfam family "Bacterial small subunit ribosomal RNA", at positions 354 to 796 of the family's 1533-position model. The record is from RNAcentral.
GUGGGGAAUAUUGCACAAUGGGCGCAAGCCUGAUGCAGCGACGCCGCGUGGGGGAUGACGGCCUUCGGGUUGUAAACUCCUUUCGACAGGGACGAAGCUUAUGUGACGGUACCUGUAGAAGAAGCACCGGCUAACUACGUGCCAGCAGCCGCGGUAAUACGUAGGGUGCGAGCGUUGUCCGGAAUUACUGGGCGUAAAGAGCUCGUAGGUGGUUUGUCGCGUCGUCUGUGAAAUCCCGGGGCUUAACCUCGGGCGUGCAGGCGAUACGGGCAUAACUUGAGUGCUGUAGGGGAGACUGGAAUUCCUGGUGUAGCGGUGAAAUGCGCAGAUAUCAGGAGGAACACCAAUGGCGAAGGCAGGUCUCUGGGCAGUAACUGACGCUGAGGAGCGAAAGCAUGGGUAGCGAACAGGAUUAGAAACCCCAGUAGUCC